CAAUAUUAUUCUUAAUAGCAAACUUUCUUUUUCAAAUAAUAAGCUUGUUAAUAUGUCCACUGUUGCUCCGCUGAUCCAUACAGUGGCUCUACCUUCAACCUCCCACCUCCCACCUCCUGCCUCCCCUCCGCUCCACUCUUCUGCCUGGCGCCUGUGUUUCGUUGAGGGUGGAGGAGGCAGGAGGUGGGCUGGUCAGCACAGCACCUCCACAACUUGUAAAAGCCUCUAGUUGAAGUGACGUGGGAUAUUAAGAGCUUUUUUUAAUACUCUGGUAACGUAUGAACAAGAUCAAAAGGCUCUAGGACUAGGUAAAGUGACUCGUGAAUAAAGUGGUUUUUUUACGGUUAUGGUGACGGAUGAAGAAGACUUCUACCCUGUGAAGAUAAUAGACGGCCUUGGAAAUUCGGCUAAUUGUGUCUGCUGCCUUGGAAAACAGCCGCAGUGAAAGAGGUGUGGUGGCCAGAGACAGCUUUCACUACCGAACAGUGAUGUAACUCAAUAUUUCACAGUCCUGACUCAUCCUCAUCUGCCCAUACUUCACCGCAGUAGCCUACAGGACGAUACACCAAUGAAUUGACGCCUGCAGAUACUUAAAAGGCGGUAAAAAGAUUUGUGUGUCAGGAAGGCCCAGUGAAGUGAUAAGGCAGUUGGCUGUGGCGGGCUGGCGGCGGCCAUGAUGACGUCAUCGGUGGGUCCCGCCCUGCCCGGCGAGUUCGUAUUAUUCACAUUUCUCAGCUCACUUAUUUCGCCUCAUAAUCACUCCAAGGUUUGCCAUUGUCCCAACCCACACACGUGUGCCGCAGCCUGCCGCAGUCCUAACAUGGGCUCGGGGUGGUACAACUGCCUCUUGAGCCGUUGCCUCCGCUGUCGCAGGAACAGUAUAGGUAAGAAUUAGCUAAUAGGUGUGU
Portunus trituberculatus (swimming crab) is the source of this 908-nucleotide long non-coding RNA. RefSeq lists it as uncharacterized. The transcript has 3 exons. NCBI's taxonomy places the organism in Eukaryota, Metazoa, Arthropoda, Malacostraca, Decapoda, Portunidae. The record is from RefSeq and is a predicted model, not a curated record.